Molecule: unclassified non-coding RNA, 345 nt
Filed under: soil metagenome
Description: partial contains 5.8S ribosomal RNA, internal transcribed spacer 2, and large subunit ribosomal RNA
Rfam family: 5.8S ribosomal RNA (bases 1-120)
Source: RNAcentral
GAUGAAGAACGCAGCGAAAUGCGAUACGUAAUGUGAAUUGCAGAAUUCAGUGAAUCAUCGAGUCUUUGAACGCACAUUGCGCCCCCUGGUAUUCCGGGGGGCAUGCCUGUCCGAGCGUCAUUGCUGCCCUCAAGCACGGCUUGUGUGUUGGGCCUCCGUCCUCCUCCCGGGGGACGGGCCCGAAAGGCAGCGGCGGCACCGCGUCCGGUCCUCGAGCGUAUGGGGCUUCGUCACCCGCUCUUGUAGGCCCGGCCGGCGCUUGCCGACACAUCAAUCUUUUUUCCAGGUUGACCUCGGAUCAGGGAGGAAUACCCGCUGAACUUAAGCAUAUCAAUAAGCGGAGGA